Molecule: transfer RNA, 70 nt
Filed under: Rhabdopleura sp. NHMO H2137
Lineage: Eukaryota; Metazoa; Hemichordata; Pterobranchia; Rhabdopleurida; Rhabdopleuridae
Description: tRNA-Gln
Source: RNAcentral
UAAGGGGUAGUGUUAUUUAAAGCAUGUAGAAGUUUGGCUUCUCUGGUAAAAAUUUGUUUUUUCUUCUUAG